Non-coding RNA from Scleropages formosus (Asian bonytongue), 432 nucleotides. Lineage: Eukaryota; Metazoa; Chordata; Actinopteri; Osteoglossiformes; Osteoglossidae. The record is from the annotation of a RefSeq genome assembly.
GAGACCCAACAUGGUCAGACGUCUUAUCAGACUCAUUGUUCUGCUACUUUGGAUGACAGGUCACGGCGAGGGGACUGGUGUAAUACAGACUCCCGAAAUUCACUUCACUUCUGCAAAGAGUAAUGCUGAGAUGAACUGCAGCCACAACAAAGACAUCACCUACAAUCAGAUGUACUGGUACCGUCAGCGCCCAGGGGAGAACAUGGAGCUCAUAGUGUUCACAUCAGCUGUUGCAAACCCCGACUUUGGGAAGUUCAGCGAAAGUAAAUAUGCAGCUGCUAAAAAGAAGGCUGAAAGUGGAUCCUUUACAGUGAAGAAUCUGGAAUCAAGUGACAGUGGAGUGUAUUUUUGUGCAGUAAGUCAACACAGUGACGCAGACUGACUGUAUAGAUGUACAAAAACUUUAUCAGGAAGAGUGCAGAAAGAGCUCUU